UAGGCUGCAACUCGCCUACAUGAAGUCGGAAUCGCUAGUAAUCGCGGAUCAGCACGCCGCGGUGAAUACGUUCCCGGGCCUUGUACACACCGCCCGUCACACCACGAGAGUUGUAACACCCGAAGUCGGUGAGGUAACCUAUUAGGAGCCAGCCGCCUAAGGUGGGAUAGAUGAUUGGGGUGAAGUCGUAACAAGGUAAC
This 200-nucleotide ribosomal RNA is filed under the name uncultured bacterium. RNAcentral describes it as "partial 16S ribosomal RNA". It matches the Rfam family "Bacterial small subunit ribosomal RNA", at positions 1301 to 1500 of the family's 1533-position model. The record is from RNAcentral.